AUCUACAAACAUAGACAUAUCUCAGCCUUUAAGACCGAAACCUGGCCGCCGUCUUUAAUAUUUACGCGGUCAAAGCAGAGGAUUGGUUUUGCUGGAAAACUAUGCUCUACCAGUCAUGUGUUGGUAGAGCUCGCAUGGAAACACAGCACUCAAAAGAACAUACGCGAUGUGCGUGUGUAUGGUCACCUAAUCCUGAGGAGCUCCAGGGGAAAAGAAAGGACAGGCCAAAAAGGCAAACAACGAGGACAAAUAAGGCUCUCGGGUCUAACUCCGGAUAAAUUCACAAACAGGGAUCCACUAUUGGGCCGGGCCUGGAGGGCUAUUAUAGCCCGGCUGAAGACUUCUUGCCGGAGGUCAGCGGCUAUACGGAUCUCUACACAGGAAAACUGGCGCACUAGGUGAGUUGCGCAAGGGCAGUCUGAGAUUCGGCCGCCCGUAAAAACGGCGGUACUUCUCAACGCCGCGAUGCGACGGCUGGAAGUCACCGAGAUGAGGUGGACGUGGUAGACCGGAACGGACUCACCGGGAAAUGCUCGAUGUCGUCGGCGUUGUCUGCGAAAUGCGUUUAUUGCUGGCCGUCUGCGCGGGUCGAACGGACACCGGUUGCUGGCAGCCAAGUCGGGGCUGCACUUCCAGCUGCAUCUGCCUGGUUGGACAAUAUGGCUGCGAAUAUCUUGAUAUCUGCUGAUCAUCGAUCCUACCCCCGCCAUAUUACAUGGCCUCUCUCAAAAUUGGGUCAUUGGAUACAUUAAGGUAAUCCCAGAGCGAACCGGGAUUAAUCCUCAAAUGGCCAGAUCGCCCGCCAGAUUCAUCCCGCUGCUGCAACUAGCGCCCUAUCGAUAAAGACCCUCCCAUAAUCGACUCCAAUUGCAACAUGGUUAAUCUUACAAUGAGUGUAUAAAAGGUAUUAAAACUAGUUCAUUAUCAUCAUACGACAGGUGCAGAUAUUUAAAAACAAUAUCUGUAACUGGAUAAGAUUCAAUGGCUUCCAUCAGUGGUGGAAUCAUCCGAAUAAAUCGCUAUUGACGAACUUGCCAUUGGCACAGUGAAAAAAUCUCGUUUGUUUGCAAAUUGCUGACCCUUAAUAUAACAGGUUUAUUCUGAAUUUAUUCAAUAUUCUGAACGUUUU
This is an RNA transcript of Drosophila suzukii, 1129 nucleotides long. RefSeq lists it as uncharacterized. The record is from RefSeq and is a predicted model, not a curated record. Lineage: Eukaryota; Metazoa; Arthropoda; Insecta; Diptera; Drosophilidae.